CUGUCGUCUGUCCCAGGUGGAUGCGCCAGUCCUCAGGACGGUCCAGCCAGCGGGUGGGGCCUUCUGGCCAUCACGGAUCAUCCCACCGAUGCCCAGGAGGAGAGAGGCUAGGCACGACGCUCCGCUCACUGGAGACCUUUCCUGCAAACAGCCAUCACUCUGCGCUCAGCCCUGGAGGAACCCUUGCUUUCUGGGUCACAUACUAUGCGUUUUCCCCUGAGAAAAAAUUCCUGCUGGAACUCUGCAUCUAAAGAGGCUACAGGGACGAUCUUUCACAAGAAGGCCACCGCCAAGGUGCCCACCGUCUGAAACCAUCCCUGACCAUGGAGCUCAGUUAGGCAGUGGUCCCCAGGAGGCCAGCUGUGAGGGGAGGCCUGAGCCUGAACCAGGAAUGCUUUCCCCAGGUUCCGAGGCUCUAAGGGGGCCCCUGUGGUAACCUGGGGAUAACUUUUCAUAUUUAAUAAACUUUUAAAAAUUGAUAGACUUUAGGGAAUUCCCUAGAGGUCCAGUGGUUAGGAUUCGAGGCUUUCACUGCUGAGGGUGAGGGUUCAAUCCCUGAUUGGGGAAUUAAGACUCCACAAGCUACACAGUGCAAUAAAAUAAUAAUAAUAUG
Odocoileus virginianus texanus is the source of this 613-nucleotide long non-coding RNA. RefSeq lists it as uncharacterized. The record is from RefSeq and is a predicted model, not a curated record. NCBI's taxonomy places the organism in Eukaryota, Metazoa, Chordata, Mammalia, Artiodactyla, Cervidae.